Molecule: ribosomal RNA, 377 nt
Filed under: uncultured bacterium
Lineage: Bacteria
Description: partial 16S ribosomal RNA
Rfam family: Bacterial small subunit ribosomal RNA
Source: RNAcentral
UGGGGAAUAUUGCACAAUGGGCGCAAGCCUGAUGCAGCCAUGCCGCGUGUAUGAAGAAGGCCUUCGGGUUGUAAAGUACUUUCAGCGGGGAGGAAGGUGUUGAGGCUAAUAACCUCAGCAAUUGACGUUACCCGCAGAAGAAGCACCGGCUAACUCCGUGCCAGCAGCCGCGGUAAUACGGAGGGUGCAAGCGUUAAUCGGAAUUACUGGGCGUAAAGCGCACGCAGGCGGUCUGUCAAGUCGGAUGUGAAAUCCCCGGGCUCAACCUGGGAACUGCAUUCGAAACUGGCAGGCUAGAGUCUUGUAGAGGGGGGUAGAAUUCCAGGUGUAGCGGUGAAAUGCGUAGAGAUCUGGAGGAAUACCGGUGGCGAAGGCGG